ACACUGAAAGGAGGUGAUCCUGAGUUGAGUUCCAUCAGGAUGCGUGAGGUGGCUGCUCGCUAGAGCCGCCCCUGCCUGCGCAGGGUGAGGCCCCUGGCCUCCGGCAGGCGAAAUCCAUAGCAGUCACCCGGCCCGCGGGCUCACCGGUACAUCCCCGGUGCCUCGGCGCCUGGCCAGUGCACGGGCCGGCGCGAGGAGCAGCCCGCGGGCUGUCUGCU
This 218-nucleotide small RNA is filed under the name Streptomyces rubellomurinus. Its description in RNAcentral is "Actinobacteria sRNA Ms_IGR-5". It matches the Rfam family "Actinobacteria sRNA Ms_IGR-5". The record is from Rfam by way of RNAcentral. Lineage: Bacteria; Bacillati; Actinomycetota; Actinomycetes; Kitasatosporales; Streptomycetaceae.